Molecule: ribosomal RNA, 444 nt
Filed under: uncultured bacterium
Lineage: Bacteria
Description: bacterial SSU rRNA
Rfam family: Bacterial small subunit ribosomal RNA
Source: RNAcentral
CACGGGGGGAACGCGAAGAACCUUACCUAAGCUUGACAUCCUUUUGACCGAUGCCUAAUCGCAUCUUUCCCUUCGGGGACAGAAGUGACAGGUGGUGCAUGGUUGUCGUCAGCUCGUGUCGUGAGAUGUUGGGUUAAGUCCCGCAACGAGCGCAACCCUUGCCUUUAGUUGCCAUCAUUAAGUUGGGCACUCUAGAGGGACUGCCAGGGAUAACCUGGAGGAAGGUGGGGAUGACGUCAAAUCAUCAUGCCCCUUAUGCUUAGGGCUACACACGUGCUACAAUGGGUGGUACAGAGGGCAGCCAAGUCGUGAGGCGGAGCUAAUCCCUUAAAGCCAUUCUCAGUUCGGAUUGUAGGCUGAAACUCGCCUACAUGAAGCUGGAGUUACUAGUAAUCGCAGAUCAGAAUGCUGCGGUGAAUGCGUUCCCGGGUCUUGUACACACCG